UCUCUGGCUUUUGUUCAUCAGUUACCAACCGCACGUCGCACACCGGAGAGACGAAGCCUCAGCGGCCGGACAAAAACGCGUUUUUUUGCCGAAGCAACUCGCAUGUUCGUGUAAAGACUCGCAUCGCCUCUUUCAGGACGUGGAUACUAAAAUAGUCUCUCCAGCGGACUUUUGGGCUUCAUUCUUUUUUUAACUUCUUUCCAAACCCGACAUGGAGACCGAGAGUAAAUAUCUCCCUCAGCUGCUGGCGGAGCGCGACAGCCUGGACUCAUCGUUCACACACGCCACGAAACUUAUCUCGGCAGAAAUCGAGAGGGUCCAGAAAGGCGACACGGAGAAAGAUACAGAAAACUACCUGGACCUCUUCACAACAAAAAACAUCAAACUGAAGGAAAGGGUCCUCAUACCCGUCAAACAGUACCCUAAGUUUAACUUUGUGGGGAAGAUCCUUGGACCGCAGGGGAACACAAUCAAGAGACUGCAGGAGGAGACGGGUGCUAAGAUCUCGGUUCUUGGGAAGGGAUCCAUGAGGGACAAAACUAAGGAGGACGGUUUGAGGAAAAGUGGAGAGCCGAAGUACGCACAUCUGUCCAUGGAGCUUCAUGUGUUCCUCGAGGUCUUUGCUCCUGUUCCCGAGGCAUAUCUGCGCAUGGCACACGCUAUGGAAGAGAUCAAGAAGUUUCUGUUUCCUGACAUGAUGGAUGAUAUUUGCCAAGAGCAGUUUAUGGAGAUGAAAUAUUUAAAUGGAGGUCAGGAGCAUGGAGCCAGAGGCCGCGGAGGACCCCCCGUCAGAGGCCGUGGAGCCCCCCCUCCUUCAGGACCACCUAGGGGUCGUGGUAUGCCCCCGCGAGGAGCGGCUCGUGGUGGACCCCCUCGAGGAGGAGCUGUAAGGGGGGCUCCAGCAGGAAGAGGCGGGCCUCCGACACAGUCUCCAAGAGGAGCAGCUGCCACACGUGCCCGUCCACCUGCCCCUGCAGGACAGAGGAUGCCCCCUCCGCCACCCCCACAUCCUCCAGCCCAAGAGACAUACGAAGAAUAUUCCUAUGAUGAGAACUACACAGAGCCAGCAUAUGAAUCCUAUGAGAGCUACUACACUCAACCACAGGCAGAACCAGAAUACUACGACUAUGGGCAUGGAGAGCCACAGGAGGGGUACGAAAGCUACGCUCAGGAUGACUGGAACGGAACACAGCGCACUUCUACCACCACUGGUGGGAAAGCUCCUGCUCAAAGACAGACUAAGCCCGGAUACAGAGAGCACCCCUAUGGACGAUACUAAGUCUGACUAGCGGAACAACACCCAACUCGUCGCCAUGACAACUGUCUCCCAUGGCAGCUCACGCUUUAAGCUACCCAACAAAAGUACUGAUGCCCGGCACUUCCUGGAAAUGGAAUUGGUUUAACAAGAAUGUGGGACCUCUGUCCAGGAAAAGAAGUGUUUAUGGUCUUUAUGGAACCAUGGACAUGGCAAACCGGUCUGAUGGAUACCUUGUGAGGAGAACAAGAUCAGAGAAAAUUAAAGAAUGAACCACCACAUUUCUACCAAGUUAAAUCGGACAAGUCUUGGGUUCUUGGUGUCUGGUGUUAUGUAUUCUGUGUGCUAAUGGCUAAAUGGUGCUCUGUACUGGGAUAUUCCAGGCGUUCCUUAAUGCUCAUGACAUCAAAGUCUUUCUAUGCAGUUAACUUGAAGUUUUCAUCAGUGAAUGUGGACCUCUUCUGCUGAUUUUCACCAAGAAAUCCUUUUAACAGGCUAUGAAAAAAAAUCUCAGACCAGCACCCCAGUGCUUUAAUUCUGCAAGACAAGCAUGUCUUCUCCGACACACUCAGAGGAACGUACAUGCUAAUUUGGAGCUGACCGGCCCCUAUCUUUUAGCGCAGACAUUGUAUUUUAAUUGGCAGGAUAAUUUUUGUCUAGCUCUGGAGUAGAUAUGUUUGAAUGGCUUUAUUCCUUCUGCAGCGUCUUGCAGUUUGCACGAUUCUCGACUGAAUGUAGCAUCCGAUGAAGCAAACACAAAGCUCCAUGGUUUUGCAGUGUAGAGUGGUUGUUGAUCUAAAUUAAGGUAACAUUUUUCUCCAUAGAGGCAUGAAAUAAAAUGGAUUUUGCACAAGCUACAUGUUCUGAUCCUUGUUUUGCAGAGGUUGAUUUUGGCUCCGAAUGCAUGAACGCGUGCGCUUCGCUGUCAGUAUAUAUCCGUUGAGGUUCCCCGCCACUCGAUCUUUUGCUCAUUUUUCCCUAGCUCACACAAGAUUCAGGCUCGUCAUUUUGACCAAUUACUGCCGAUGACAGUGUGUCUGUCCCCCCACUGAGCCUGCGCUGGUUGCUGAUGGGCUAACAGGACUCUGGCUUAUUGCCUUAGACACAAAUCAGUCCUCAGCACACAUUUUAAUAAGCAUCAGCUAGCGCUCAAGUGACAUUGAACAAUUGGAAAUGGCUGGCCGUGGUAGGAGGUUGACCAGUGCUGUAUGCAGGCAUAACGUAAUGAGAAAUCUCAAAAGCAGAUCGUGGAAUAUUUCAUUUUUUUGCUAACAGAUGCUGGGGGCAAAACAAAAUCUAGCGAUCUCCCCAGAACAGAAUAUUCAAGCCAACUAGCUGGAGUUAAUGGGUCUGUGUUUAUAUAUUCAUGGGCAUGAAUGCGACCUACAGCUGCAGGGAAAUGCAUCAAUGACGGUUGGUGGGCUUAUGGGUUUACGGUUUGGCAGCUCCUUUCUCCUAACGCAUUAUGCAUGCUAAAAACAGGAAGCAUGUUUUCAUGAAUGUAGAUUCAUGCUCGCACCACAUACGCUGUCUGCCUCGCUUGCUCGCAUGGCUAUUUUGUUGGUUUCACACCUAACAGUGCACGCGCUCCGGGGAUUGGGGGUUUGCGACUGUUUCUGGCUCAAGUCCCGGAGAAACCGUGAACGCCGGCCACCUCGAUCAGUAUGAAGGUGUUGGGAAUGACUAAGCCUCCUAAAGGUUUCUUCCUCGGUGUGCCGUGGUGGAAACGAAUCGAAUCUGUCCAUGUGGAAUCUGGCUUGAGUAAUCUGUAGCCCUCCAGGACUGGAGUUGGGCACAACCACCACGGCUGUUGCUGUGGUAACAUUCCAUUGCAUGUUUUCCAACAUUCACAUAAGCAAACGCACACAGUACAAUGUGGGGAUGUCUUGGGGAUUGCUUGGGAUUAGCGAUGAAAUGGUUCUGCCAGCCGUCUGCAUCGUCUUUUGUUGUUUUAAAGUGAUUUAUGUGCCUGUAGUCGCCUGAUGUGGCUAAACCUGAUUUCGAGCUCAUGAACACAGCGGCUGUCAACAGCAGUUGGCCUUUACCUCUCGAGCCUUUAGGGACAGGGAAACUGAUCACUGGGGAGCGGACACAAUUUCUGUUCAUAUCUGCACAAUGACACUAGCUUGUUUAUUAUUCUUUUUGGAGAUCGGUGCAUCCAAGUAUUUCAACUCAAAUUCAUACACAGCCAAUUACAUGACUAAAGAAGUAAAUGCCAAAUCGUUUGAUUGGUUUUGGUGCUACACAAUGUUUGACCUUAAAGUUGUCAGAAAUAAAGAUUUGA
RNA transcript from Triplophysa rosa, 3539 nucleotides. It is a transcript of the gene named KH domain containing, RNA binding, signal transduction associated 1b, with no coding region annotated. The record is from RefSeq and is a predicted model, not a curated record. NCBI's taxonomy places the organism in Eukaryota, Metazoa, Chordata, Actinopteri, Cypriniformes, Nemacheilidae. The transcript is spliced from 11 exons.